RNAcentral lists this ribosomal RNA (1146 nucleotides) under Enterobacter hormaechei. Its description in RNAcentral is "partial 23S ribosomal RNA". It matches the Rfam family "Bacterial large subunit ribosomal RNA", at positions 1 to 1191 of the family's 2925-position model. RNAcentral also lists the same sequence under 1 other name. The record is from RNAcentral. Lineage: Bacteria; Pseudomonadati; Pseudomonadota; Gammaproteobacteria; Enterobacterales; Enterobacteriaceae.
GGUUAAGCGACUAAGCGUACACGGUGGAUGCCCUGGCAGUCAGAGGCGAUGAAGGACGUGCUAAUCUGCGAAAAGCGCCGGCGAGGUGAUAUGAACCUUUGACCCGGCGAUGUCCGAAUGGGGAAACCCAGUGUGUUCCGACACACUAUCGUUAACUGAAUACAUAGGUUAACGAGGCGAACCGGGGGAACUGAAACAUCUAAGUACCCCGAGGAAAAGAAAUCAACCGAGAUUCCCCCAGUAGCGGCGAGCGAACGGGGAGCAGCCCGGAGUCUGAAUCAGCUUGUGUGUUAGUGGAACGGUCUGGAAAGUCCGACGGUACAGGGUGAUAGUCCCGUACACGAAAAUGCACAUGCUGUGAACUCGAAGAGUAGGGCGGGACACGUGGUAUCCUGUCUGAAUAUGGGGGGACCAUCCUCCAAGGCUAAAUACUCCUGACUGACCGAUAGUGAACCAGUACCGUGAGGGAAAGGCGAAAAGAACCCCGGCGAGGGGAGUGAAAAAGAACCUGAAACCGUGUACGUACAAGCAGUGGGAGCACCUUCGGGUGUGACUGCGUACCUUUUGUAUAAUGGGUCAGCGACUUAUAUUCUGUAGCAAGGUUAACCGUAUAGGGGAGCCGAAGGGAAACCGAGUCUUAACUGGGCGUUAAGUUGCAGGGUAUAGACCCGAAACCCGGUGAUCUAGCCAUGGGCAGGUUGAAGGUUGGGUAACACUAACUGGAGGACCGAACCGACUAAUGUUGAAAAAUUAGCGGAUGACCUGUGGCUGGGGGUGAAAGGCCAAUCAAACCGGGAGAUAGCUGGUUCUCCCCGAAAGCUAUUUAGGUAGCGCCUCGUGAACUCAUCUUCGGGGGUAGAGCACUGUUUCGGCUAGGGGGCCAUCCCGGCUUACCAACCCGAUGCAAACUACGAAUACCGAAGAAUGUUAUCACGGGAGACACACGGCGGGUGCUAACGUCCGUCGUGAAGAGGGAAACAACCCAGACCGCCAGCUAAGGUCCCAAAGUCAUGGUUAAGUGGGAAACGAUGUGGGAAGGCACAGACAGCCAGGAUGUUGGCUUAGAAGCAGCCAUCAUUUAAAGAAAGCGUAAUAGCUCACUGGUCGAGUCGGCCUGCGCGGAAGAUGUAACGGGGCUAAACCAUG